CUCAGGCACUUCUUCUUCUGC
RNAcentral lists this non-coding RNA (21 nucleotides) under Arabidopsis thaliana (thale cress). Lineage: Eukaryota; Viridiplantae; Streptophyta; Magnoliopsida; Brassicales; Brassicaceae. The record is from RNAcentral.